RNAcentral lists this ribosomal RNA (385 nucleotides) under uncultured bacterium. Its description in RNAcentral is "bacterial SSU rRNA". It matches the Rfam family "Bacterial small subunit ribosomal RNA", at positions 29 to 441 of the family's 1533-position model. The record is from RNAcentral.
AGCGAACGCUGGCGGCAGGCCUAACACAUGCAAGUCGAACGAAGUCUUCGGACUUAGUGGCGGACGGGUGAGUAACACGUGGGAACGUACCUUUUGGUUCGGGAUAACGCAGGGAAACUUGCGCUAAUACCGAAUGUGCUCUUCGGAGGAAAGAUUUAUCGCCAUUAGAGCGGCCCGCGUUGGAUUAGGUAGUUGGUGAGGUAAAGGCUCACCAAGCCUACGAUCCAUAGCUGGUCUGAGAGGAUGAUCAGCCACACUGGGACUGAGACACGGCCCAGACUCCUACGGGAGGCAGCAGUGGGGAAUCUUGCGCAAUGGUCGAAAGACUGACGCAGCCAUGCCGCGUGAAUGAUGAAGGUCUUAGGAUUGUAAAAUUCUUUUAGCA